Molecule: ribosomal RNA, 672 nt
Filed under: uncultured archaeon
Lineage: Archaea
Description: bacterial SSU rRNA
Rfam family: Archaeal small subunit ribosomal RNA
Source: RNAcentral
CGUGGCUAACCUGCCCUUGGGACAGAGACAACCCCGGGAAACUGGGGCUAAUCCCUGAUAAGCGAAGAACUCUGGAAUGAGUCUUCACCAAAAUGGCGUUUAGAUCAUGCUUCUAGGCGUUGCCCAAGGAUGGGGCCGCGACCGAUCAGGUUGUUGGUGAGGUAAUGGCUCACCAAGCCUAUAACCGGUGCGGGCCGUGAGAGCGGGAGCCCGGAGAUGGGCACUGAGACAAGGGCCCAGGCCCUACGGGGCGCAGCAGUCGCGAAAACUUUGCAAUACACGAAAGUGUGACAGGGUCAUCCCGAGUGCCGUCCGCUGAGGAUGGCUUUUACCCAGUCUAGAAAGCUGGGGGAAUAAGGAGAGGGCAAGUCUGGUGUCAGCCGCCGCGGUAAUACCAGCUCUCCGAGUGGUGUGGAUGUUUAUUGGGCCUAAAGCAUCCGUAGCUGGCUGGGCAAGUCCCCUGUUAAAUCCACCGAUUCAAUCGUUGGUUUGCGGGGGAUACUGCUCGGCUAGGGGACGAGAGAGGCCGACGGUAUUCCCGGGGUAGGGGUGAAAUCCUAUAAUCCCGGGAAGACCACCAGUGGCGAAGGCUGUCGGCUAGAACGCGCCCGACGGUGAGGGAUGAAAGCUGGGGGAGCGAACCGGAUUAGAUACCCGGGUAGUCCCAGCUGU